Molecule: ribosomal RNA, 200 nt
Filed under: uncultured prokaryote
Description: partial 16S ribosomal RNA
Rfam family: Bacterial small subunit ribosomal RNA
Source: RNAcentral
ACGUCAAGUCAUCAUGGUUCUUACGGGUCGGGCUACAAACGUACUACAAUGGUCAUAACAAUGGGUCGCAAUACCGCAAGGUAAAGCUAAUCCUGAAAUAUGGCCUCAGUUCAGAUUGUCCUCUGCAACUCGAGGGCAUGAAGUUGGAAUUGCUAGUAAUCGCGGAUCAGAAUGCCGCGGUGAAUACGUUCCCGGGUCUU